UGCUUUUGAUAUAUUUUAUCUUGUCAUCUGGGCUGGCUAGGAUCUCAGAGCCUGAAUCUGAAAAAAGAAGAGGUGACGGCAGCUAGCUCUGUUUUGCUGUUGACCUUAAAAGGGAUGCCUUCAAAUGUCAGGAGUGAGAACGGUGCUGGGUCGUCUUCAUCCAGGUAAGAAGCUCCUGGGAGACUUUCCCUUCGCAGCCUCAGCAGCAAACACAGGGCCUGGCUCCGCAGAUGUGAGCUCAGCAGAGUGGACAGUGAGAGAGAGAAAGACAGAGAGAAAUGUCUUCCUUUUGCUGUUGGUUCACCCUCCAAUGGCCGCUGCAGCCAGCGCACCGCGCUGAUCCGAAGCCAGGAUCCGUAGGCAGGAGCCAGGUGCUUCUCCUGGUCUCCCAUGGGGUGCAGGGCCCAAGCACUUGGGCCAUCCUCCACUGCACUCCCUGGCCACAGCAGAGAGCUGGCCUGGAAGAGGGGCAACUGGGACAGAAUCCGGCGCCCUGACCAGGACUAGAACCCGGUGUGCUGGCGCCACAGGCAGAGGAUUAGCCUAGUGAGCCGCGGCGCCGCCGGCCACGUUACCUACUUCUGAAAAGUCUGUUAUUGAAGUAUAUUUGCAUUCUGGAACUUUCCUUUGGAUCCAUCUUUU
Non-coding RNA from Oryctolagus cuniculus (rabbit), 642 nucleotides. The record is from RefSeq and is a predicted model, not a curated record. Lineage: Eukaryota; Metazoa; Chordata; Mammalia; Lagomorpha; Leporidae.